CAGCAGCCGCGGUAAUACGUAGGGUGCGAGCGUUAAUCGGAAUUACUGGGCGUAAAGCGUGCGCAGGCGGUUUUGUAAGACAGGCGUGAAAUCCCCGGGCUCAACCUGGGAAUGGCGCUUGUGACUGCAAAGCUAGAGUGCGGCAGAGGGGGAUGGAAUUCCGCGUGUAGCAGUGAAAUGCGUAGAUAUGCGGAGGAACACCGAUGGCGAAGGCAAUCCCCUGGGCCUGCACUGACGCUCAUGCACGAAAGCGUGGGGAGCAAACAGGAUUAGAUACCCGGGUAGUCCCUGUCUCUUAUAC
RNAcentral lists this ribosomal RNA (301 nucleotides) under uncultured bacterium. RNAcentral describes it as "partial 16S ribosomal RNA". It matches the Rfam family "Bacterial small subunit ribosomal RNA", at positions 509 to 807 of the family's 1533-position model. The record is from RNAcentral.